UGAGGAAUAUUGCACAAUCGGCGCAAGCCUGAUGCAGCAACGCCGCGUGAGGGACGAAGGCCUUCGGGUCGUAAACCUCUUUUCUGAGGGACGAGUAAGGACGGUACCUCAGGAAUAAAUCUCGGCUAACUACGUGCCAGCAGCCGCGGUAAAACGUAGGAGGCGAGCGUUAUCCGGAUUUACUGGGCGUAAAGCGUACGCAGGUGGCUUCGUGAGUCGGACAUGAAAGCUCCUGGCUUAACUGGGAGAGGUUGUUCGAUACUGCGGGGCUUGAGGUUGGGAGAGGGACGUGGAAUUCCCGGUGUAGUGGUGGAAUGCGUAGAUAUCGGGAGGAACACCAGUGGCGCAAGCGGCGUCCUGGCCCACACCUGACGCUGAGGAGCGAAAGCGUGGGUAGCAAACAG
This 404-nucleotide ribosomal RNA is filed under the name uncultured bacterium. Its description in RNAcentral is "bacterial SSU rRNA". It matches the Rfam family "Bacterial small subunit ribosomal RNA", at positions 355 to 775 of the family's 1533-position model. The record is from RNAcentral.